RNAcentral lists this ribosomal RNA (416 nucleotides) under Streptococcus mitis. Its description in RNAcentral is "bacterial SSU rRNA". It matches the Rfam family "Bacterial small subunit ribosomal RNA", at positions 72 to 474 of the family's 1533-position model. Lineage: Bacteria; Bacillati; Bacillota; Bacilli; Lactobacillales; Streptococcaceae. The record is from RNAcentral.
GGAGGAGCUUGCUUCUCUGGAUGAGUUGCGAACGGGUGAGUAACGCGUAGGUAACCUGCCUGGUAGCGGGGGAUAACUAUUGGAAACGAUAGCUAAUACCGCAUAAUAGUAGAUGUUGCAUGACAUUUGCUUAAAAGGUGCAAUUGCAUCACUACCAGAUGGACCUGCGUUGUAUUAGCUAGUUGGUGAGGUAACGGCUCACCAAGGCGACGAUACAUAGCCGACCUGAGAGGGUGAUCGGCCACACUGGGACUGAGACACGGCCCAGACUCCUACGGGAGGCAGCAGUAGGGAAUCUUCGGCAAUGGACGGAAGUCUGACCGAGCAACGCCGCGUGAGUGAAGAAGGUUUUCGGAUCGUAAAGCUCUGUUGUAAGAGAAGAACGAGUGUGAGAGUGGAAAGUUCACACUGUGACG